Molecule: ribosomal RNA, 528 nt
Filed under: uncultured bacterium
Lineage: Bacteria
Description: bacterial SSU rRNA
Rfam family: Bacterial small subunit ribosomal RNA
Source: RNAcentral
GACGAACGCUGGCGGCGUGCCUAAUACAUGCAAGUUGAACGCUAAAGCUUUAACUGGUGCUUGCACCGACCUAAGUUUUUAGAGUAGCGGACGGGUGAGUAACACGUGGGCAACCUGCCCUUAAGACUGGGAUAACUCCGGGAAACCGGGGCUAAUACCGGAUAAUUGAAAGAACCUCCUGGUUCUUUUAUGAAAGGCGGCUUCGGCUGUCACUUAAGGAUGGGCCCGCGGCGCAUUAGCUAGUUGGUGAGGUAACGGCUCACCAAGGCAACGAUGCGUAGCCGACCUGAGAGGGUGAUCGGCCACACUGGGACUGAGACACGGCCCAGACUCCUACGGGAGGCAGCAGUAGGGAAUCUUCCGCAAUGGACGAAAGUCUGACGGAGCAACGCCGCGUGAGUGAAGAAGGUUUUCGGAUCGUAAAGCUCUGUUGUCAGGGAAGAACAAGUACCAUAGUAACUGAUGGUACCUUGACGGUACCUGACCAGAAAGCCACGGCUAACUACGUGCCAGCAGCCGCCGUAACAC